AACUUAGUAAUUUUAAUAUCACAUAAUUUGCAGGUUCUUCAUCUUGAAGAAUUUAUUUGAACAUUAUUUCAUUAAAUUAAAAUAAUAAACAAAAACUGUACAGUUUGAUCAUAGCACUUAAAUACAAUUAAGGCAAACAAACAAAACAAAAAAACAAGUGACAUUUUAGUAUAAGUGAUCUCCAAUAUGGAGAGGAGAUUCGUACUACCUGUGUUUUUAAUUAUAAUAAUAUAUUCAUAUACCGUGCACUAUCUAUGACAGGAAAGAAAGGAAAGAUUGUUCAAGUGAAACUAGAAAGAAAAGCAAUAAUAUUUUUGGGGGUUAUUUCUAUCAAAUUUUAAAGUUUUGUACAUCAACUCUAUCACACAGCACAUGCCUCACAACAAUAUAGAAUUAAAAACAUAGUUUUUGUGUUAUAAUUACAAUAUGUUCAAGCAUAAGAAAUUUGCUUUCAUACAACAAUAAAGAAGCAUAUGAAAGAAAAAACAAAUUCAAAACAUAAGUGUAAAUAUAAUAGGAUUUAUUUUUUCCAUCAUACACUGAGCUUAUCAUUUAAAAUUCUAAUGCAACAACGUUUGUAACGUUCAUUU
Molecule: long non-coding RNA, 590 nt
Filed under: Mytilus galloprovincialis (Mediterranean mussel)
Lineage: Eukaryota; Metazoa; Mollusca; Bivalvia; Mytilida; Mytilidae
Source: RNAcentral